AUGGAUAAGAGUUGGAUGAGGUUGCCUGAUAGGUUUUCAAGUGAUUACAUUUCAGGGGUGAAUGCAUUCAUUGAUUUUGCUUGUCAACAUAACAGCGGCAAUGAUAAGAUGCGUUGCCCUUGUGAAACUUGUAUGAAUAUAAGUCAGCAGAGUGUUAGUCAAGUUCGAACCCAUUUGUUAUUGUAUGGCAUACAAACUUCGUACACAAAAUGGAUAUUCCAUGGAGAACAAGUUAGCAAUGAUGAAGACCAAGUUGAUGAGUCACUUGAAGAUGAGGAAGAUCUUGAUGAUUUUGAUGGAUUUGAUAUGGUCCAAGAUCUGCUAGGAGAUACCCAUAGAGCCACGGUUGGGGUUGACGAGCAAGAGAACCAUAAUCCUACUGGAGGUAGCAUUCCGGAGCCCAAUGAGUCAUCGACCAGAUUUGACGGCUUGCUGAGAAGUUCACAACGUGAGCUAUACCCGGGCUGCAAAGGCCACUCGGUGCUAUCCUUUGUUUUAAAGCUGGUACACCUCAAAGAUCUUAACCAUUGGAGCAACAAAUCUUUUGACAUGUUACUCAAGCUUCAGAAGGAGGCUUUGCCAGCCGGUAACUCGCUUCCAGCCACGUACUAUGAAGCAACGAAUAUGUUGAGAGAUCUAGGGCUAGGUUAUGAAAGUAUUGAUGCUUGCAUAAAUGAUUGUGUUCUAUUCUGGAAGGAGCAUGAGGACAAGGAUGAGUGCCCAGUUUGUAAGGAAUCGAGGUGGAAGACACAGAAGGGCAAGGGGAAGCAAGUACCUCAGAAAGUGUUGCGCUACUUUCCCUUAAUCCCUAGAUUACAACGGCUGUUCAUGAACAAGGAAAUAGCUUCAGAUUUGCGUUAUCAUAGGGAUAAGAGAGUUGUCGAACCAAAUGUGUUGAGGGGUCCUCCGGAUGGCGAUGCUUGGAAACAUAUGGAUAAGAAAUAUCCCUGGAUGGAAGAAGACCCUCGCCAUUUGCGGCUCGGGGUUGGCACCGAUGGUUUCAACCCAUUUGGAAUUAUGAGUAGCUCAUAUAGUGUGUGGCCUGUCAUUGUAGUUGUGUAUAACUUGCCUCCAUGGAGAAGCAUGAAAGAGCCCUUCCUGCUCAUGACAUUAUUGAUCCCUGGGAAGAAGUCACCGGGAAGGGACAUUGAUGUGUAUUUGAGGCCAUUGGUUGAAGAACUAAAGCAAUUAUUUAAUCUAGGAGUUGUUACUUUUGACGCUGUUGAAGGAGGUAGUUUCAAUAUGCGUGCAAUAUUGCUAUGGACUAUCCACGACCUUCCAGCACUAGGUUCAGUAUUUGGGUAUUCUACAAUGGGCUACAAGGCAUGCCCUGUUUGCCUAGAUGGAACCUAUUCGCAACCACUUCGAAGCAAAAUUGGUUUCUUAGGCCAUAGGAGGUACUUGCCUAUUCGCCAUAGGUGGCGCAAAAGUAAGGCCUUCAAUGGUAAGAAAGAGAAAGCGUUGCCACCAAAACAACUAUCUGGGAAAGACAUUUUUGAAUUGCUGCAGAAGUUAGAUCAUCUCCAGGGCUUCAAAUAA
This 1539-nucleotide ribosomal RNA is filed under the name Triticum aestivum (bread wheat). RNAcentral describes it as "partial small subunit ribosomal RNA". The record is from RNAcentral. Lineage: Eukaryota; Viridiplantae; Streptophyta; Magnoliopsida; Poales; Poaceae.